This 690-nucleotide long non-coding RNA is filed under the name Capsicum annuum. RNAcentral describes it as "long non-coding RNA (CANN_LNC011457)". Lineage: Eukaryota; Viridiplantae; Streptophyta; Magnoliopsida; Solanales; Solanaceae. The record is from RNAcentral.
CCCUUUAUAUAAUUAGAAAACCCUAACAUAUUCUUUAAAUACUUCAUCCUAAUUAUGGAAACAAAAUCACAGAUCACAGUAUUUUCUCAGACAGACGAGGACGUGUGUGAUGGCUUAUCAAGAGUCUGAUACCUUAUCAAGAAUGUUGUUAGCUACUCUACAUAGUUGAACAAUUUCUGCCUUUUUCUAAUGAUGAAGUCUUAUGAAUUAUCAGACAUGUGACAACUUAUCAAAAUUUUUUUCCCUUCUUCACCUCAAGUUCUCAAAUACUACCUAAGCCUAACGAUGAUCCUGACGACUUAUCAUAACUCUAACGGCCUAUCGCACAUUGUCAUUACUUCAUCCAACUAAAUCUCAUACACUACCUAAGGCUGAAAAUGACUUUGACAACUUAUAAGGACUUUGAUGACAUAUCAGACAAUGCGUCACUUCUUCAUUUCAAAUCUCAUGUACUGCCUUAGGCUGACAACAUUCUCGAUGGCUUAUUAGAAUUGUGAUGACUUAUCAGAGAUGUAGUCACACUUCUGCUUCAACUUUCUCAGACUGUCUACUGCUGAUGAUGACUCUGAUAACUUAUCACAAAUUUGAUGACUUAUAAGACAUGUAGUCAACUACACUUUCAUGGCCACUUGUUCUAAAUUUACCUCUUUUGUUCUAAUUGUCUUCGGUUUUCUUGCAUCUUGACUUUCC